CUUGGUAGCAGCAGACAGCACACGUACAUCUGUCUUAACGAAAUGGCAUCAUGUGGCAGGCACAGAAGCGAUGGCAGGAGAAGAUGAAGGGCCUGCUGGAGGAGUGAACACAUCCCACAUUUCUUUAUCCAUGAUUAGAAUCAGGACCGGCACUUGGUACUCAGUAAGCGCCAAGAUUUUCUUGGACAAAUUCAAGGUCUUCUCUCAAUUGUGGUCGGAACUGGACAUUCCCACGAGGACAGUUUCCACUUCCAGUAAUGGCUGAGGAGGUCCUAUUGCAAAUAAUAAUGAGAAACUCUGGACCAAGUAUUUUAGAACCACCACCUGAAAGUAUUGGAGAGUAAGUAAGAGCAGGAUUCCCUCCUGGGCUGUACGGUUUCUGUUGAGAAGUCUGUUGCCAGAUGAAUUGACACUCCUUUAUAUGUUAUUUACUUGUUUUCUCAUGCUGCUUUUAGAAUUUUCUAUUUGUUCUUGACCUUUGAAAAUUUGAUUAUUAUAUGCCCUGGGUUAGUCUUACUUGGAUCAAAUCUGUUUGGUGUUCUUUGACCUUCCUGUACCUGGAUAUGUAUACCUUCCUCAAGUUUUGGGAAUUUUUCUGUUAUUAUAUCUCUAAAAAGCUUUCUACCCCUUGCUGUUGCUCAACUUCCUCUUGAACACCAAUAGUUCUUAGAUUUGACCUUUUGAGUUAAUUUUCUAUAUUUUGUAGGUGACCUUUUAUGUCGUUUUUGUUACUAAACAUAACGUUUGUGAGAUUCAUCCAUAUUGUGCAUAGUUGUAGUUUCUUGACAUUUGGUCUCAUUGUUCUACAAUAUUCUGUUGUUUAAAUAUGUGAUUUUUCUAUCCAUUCUACUGAAGAGGACAUUUGGGUUGGUUUGGUUUGUGACCAUGUGCGUAGUGUUGCUGUGAACAUUCUUGCACAUGCCAGAUCUUAUUUUAAAAGUCUGAUGCAGGGCUUCCCAUCAGUGGUCUAGCCCUCUUUAUGAGGAAGAUGGUUCACUCCCAAGAUUAACAUUUUUGGAGUUAUGAUACCCCAUUUUUAUUUCAUUAGAGCACCUACUCCUCCCAAAAUGAUGUAUAGCAUAAAUCUUUCUUGAUACAAAUUAACCUAGUUUAAAGGCAUGGCAAUGUCAUCAGCAUCUACUCAUCUCUGUGUGACCACAGCACCUUGUCCCGUGCUCUGCACAAAGAAAGCGUUUAUAACACUUGCUUAGUUGAAUUGUUUAAGAACAAGUCCCCACAUCCCCACCACCUCCACAAGUCUUCAUCUUCCCCAAGCAAAAUACCAUAGCUCUCUUAACCAUUCUUUACAGCAGUGGUACUCAAUUCUUUUGUUCUAGUAUUUCCAGGGCAAAAUAAUUUUUUAAAACUCUACACCCAUCCACAUUUUUAAGCUGGCAUCUUUAUCAUUCAUUUAAAUAAAUGCAAAGAGUGAAAUUUCUACCAUCUUAUAAAUUGUUUAAAUAUUUUAUUUUUAAAAAAACAAUGAAACUGCAUUGGCUCAUACAAUUUAUAGAAAAGGUCCACCAUAUAACAUAAUUGGCAAAGCCGUUGUCAUUGUCAAAUUAAUUAGCAAAUCAGGCUUACUUUCAUAUAGACAUGGCUUUCUAUUAUGUUUUCUAAAUCAUUUCAAAUACACAUGUUAGUACACAUUCCUCAGCAAACAUUACUUCUGAAUUCUCAUUCUAAGCUACAUAGCUGGCUGGCUGGCUGGCUGGAUGGAUGGAUGGAUGGAGGCAAAGAAACUCACCAUGACUUUGUCACCUGAAUGAAACAGUGCCACAUCUUUAAUAUUUCCUCCCAAACCUUCCUUUCCUUUACUUUCCUGUGACUCUCUCUCAGAAGGGAUGCAUGUCUAAAUUCUUUAUUUGGUACCCAGAAGUCUUUUACAGCUCAGGGUAAUAGUGCUCCACAGGAAGAUGCAGGAUCGCAGGGAGAGCUGUUUGUCUUCUUUUCCAAACUGGGGCCAGAGAAAAGGGAGGUGGGAAGCUAUGCUUGGAGUCAAUUUGUCCCAUGUUUUCUUUCUAAAAGCAUAUGGAGGGGAAAAUGAUUGGUGUUUUAAAGAUGUUGGGUCACUUUACUUUCUCAUGCUAUUAGGCCAAGCUGUGACCCUUAGUUUCAUCUCCAGAUUAUCAGACAUAAAAGGCCCACAGGAAUCCAGAAGCUAGACAGAGCAUAGGUAUUCCAAUCUCUCAAGAAAAUGGGCAGUAAGAGAUUUACUAAUAGUAUGUUUGCUCACCUGGCA
Molecule: long non-coding RNA, 2242 nt
Filed under: Homo sapiens (human)
Lineage: Eukaryota; Metazoa; Chordata; Mammalia; Primates; Hominidae
Description: HSALNT0089406
Source: RNAcentral